This 92-nucleotide signal recognition particle RNA is filed under the name Alphaproteobacteria bacterium. Its description in RNAcentral is "signal recognition particle sRNA small type". It matches the Rfam family "Bacterial small signal recognition particle RNA". Rfam says of the family: The signal recognition particle (SRP) is a universally conserved ribonucleoprotein involved in the co-translational targeting of proteins to membranes. Archaeal SRP consists of a 7S RNA and homologues of the eukaryotic SRP19 and SRP54 proteins. The record is from RNAcentral. Lineage: Bacteria; Pseudomonadati; Pseudomonadota; Alphaproteobacteria.
AUGGAGUAGUCGGACGCAGAGGAGCGCGAACCCGGUCAGGUCCGGAAGGAAGCAGCCGUAGUGAACACCGUGCGGGUUGAUUGCUCCCUGUC